This 95-nucleotide transfer RNA is filed under the name Propionibacteriales bacterium. Its description in RNAcentral is "tRNA-Sec". It matches the Rfam family "Selenocysteine transfer RNA". The record is from RNAcentral. Lineage: Bacteria; Bacillati; Actinomycetota; Actinomycetes; Propionibacteriales.
GGAGGCGUUCCUCAUCUGGUGAUGGGCGCGGUCUUCAAAACCGUUGUGGCCGAGCAUCUCGGCCAGGCGGGUUCGAUUCCCGUCCGCCUCCGCCA